UAAACGUACACCUACUGAAUGGAUUCA
RNAcentral lists this non-coding RNA (27 nucleotides) under Homo sapiens (human). Lineage: Eukaryota; Metazoa; Chordata; Mammalia; Primates; Hominidae. The record is from RNAcentral.